UACGUAGGGUGCGAGCGUUGUCCGGAAUUACUGGGCGUAAAGAGCUCGUAGGCGGUUUGUCGCGUCGUCUGUGAAAACCCGCAGCUCAACUGCGGGCUUGCAGGCGAUACGGGCAGACUUGAGUACUGCAGGGGAGACUGGAAUUCCUGGUGUAGCGGUGAAAUGCGCAGAUAUCAGGAGGAACACCGGUGGCGAAGGCGGGUCUCUGGGCAGUAACUGACGCUGAGGAGCGAAAGCGUGGGUAGCGAACAGG
RNAcentral lists this ribosomal RNA (253 nucleotides) under uncultured bacterium. RNAcentral's name for it is "partial 16S ribosomal RNA". It matches the Rfam family "Bacterial small subunit ribosomal RNA", at positions 524 to 776 of the family's 1533-position model. The record is from RNAcentral. RNAcentral also lists the same sequence under 1 other name.